UACGUAGGGGACGAGCGUUGUCCGGAAUUACUGGGCGUAAAGGGCGCGCAGGCUGUGCUGCAAGUCAGCUGUUAAAGACUGGGGCUUAACCCUGGUAUGCGGUUGAGACUGCAGUACUGGAGUGCUGUAGAGGCAAGUGGAAUUCCCAGUGUAGCGGUGAAAUGCGUAGAUAUUGGGAAGAACACCGGUGGCGAAGGCGACUUGCUGGGCAGCAACUGACGCUGAGGCGCGAAAGCCAGGGGAGCAAACGGG
Molecule: ribosomal RNA, 252 nt
Filed under: uncultured bacterium
Lineage: Bacteria
Description: partial 16S ribosomal RNA
Rfam family: Bacterial small subunit ribosomal RNA
Source: RNAcentral